CUAACAUAUAAUGCCUUCAGUUGAGAGGGUCAAGUAACAUACUGGAAAACAUUAGGCUGCACUGUUUGAUGUCAUUCAUGUGGAAAGUCUUAGAAGUUGUUUUAAAUUUGAAGUGAAUUUUAAUGGACCAAAUGAGAAAACACUUGGAAAAAUGUCAUAUGAUUAACUGUUUACCUGCUGAAGCAUAGACCAGUCCUGUUGGUGGGUUGCAGAAGAGGAUGAAAAGCCAACAAUAAUAAUAUCCUUCCACAACCACUAAAGCUCUGUGAAGAAAGUUGCAUAGAAGUGAUGCUGGGUAUUACAGAAUGCUGGUAGCUCUUCUGUCACAUGCAUCCUACUGUUCUUGAUAGACACUAGAGAGAGAAAGAGGGAGGGAGCCCUGCCUAUGCUUGGAAUCUCUCAAAGGUGGUAUUCUGGGGGAGAAAUGGCUCAGGAAGCCAAAUUCAAGAGGCAGAUCAACCAUCAAUAAUCCCUACAGGCCAGGAAUGGCCCAUAACGCGAGAUCUGUGGUUUUUAGUGCAGUCUUUAUUUGUGCUGUAAUCACUUCUGACAACGCGACACAAAGCGAGGAUUUCAAAGCAAGGGAUUGGGAAAAGGCACGACAAAUAAUGAGGCCUCUCCCACUACAAUUAGAUACAGGAGAUUCAGGUCAUUUAAGUUGCUCAUAAAUUGCAAAAUGCAGUCAGUUAGGAAGCUAUAAAUAGGCUAAAAAAAAAAAAAAGGCCUAAAAGGAAACAGUUAAAACCUCAUAUAUUAUGGGUGAGAUUGCAGAGUACACUGCCCAGGAAAGACACAUAAAAAUCGCUUAAGUGCUGAUCCCAACAUGUACAGCUGCAGUAAAGAAGGCAAACAGCGUCAUUGCAGGAGAUGUGGUGUCAAUAAGGGGGGCUGCCUUUCUCGGCGUCUGCUGUUUGGGGCAGGAGUGCAGGGCAGCUCUGCUCAGUGUUUCUUUGACAGGAAAUAGCCACCCUUAAUGGGAUGUGAGGGAGGUGAAUCCAACUGACACCAUAAAUCUUGGAGAUGUUGGUAAGCAUGAGGAAGCUAGGAUCCUUUUUGCUGCAGAAAGGAGACAGUUUUAUUGCUCUUUUUCAAGUGUGGUUGUUUUUUUCCCCGAAGUGAUAUAGGUGCCUAUUUUGAAACCACUUCAUUUAGAUACUGCAGUGACUGGAGAAUGUAAUCUCAAUGGGAGAAGCAAUCUGAGGUUUUGGGCAGGCUAUUCUAUGCAAACGUGAUCCAAACCAGCUGUCUGCUACCUUUAAAUAAUUCCCAGUAGUGUUUGGUGUGUUCACCCACAUGAAGUGUGCAAAUUCAGGCUUCCAGUACAGCUGCCUAGGCAGCGUUGACAAAAAGCUGCGUGGCAGAUGAUAGCUAACUGCUUCUCUGAACACUGCAUUUCCUUGUCCGCUCUUAACCAUGGCCUGAAGCAUCCCUCAGCUGCCGAAUCUAGUGGCAGUCAUCUGGAUGUAGGUGGUAUCUCUUGGACCAAGCAUUCCUGGGUGUGUGGAUGGCUCUCCAGGCUCUGCAGAACUGUGUGGGGAGGAGCAAGGAGGUGGGAAAGGGAAUGUGUGUCUGUCAAUGUAGUCCUUUUCCCAAUCAAUUUCAGGGUUAAUAUUUAUGUCUAGCUUGGGAGAACUUGGAAACCAAGUGUUACAUUUUCUGGUUUUUUAUAGAGCCGAUACAGUGGCCAAAAUCCAGUUCAAAGCUGCAGUCAGCACAGCAAGUGAGGCACUUAGCACCUCCCAAAGGACCUAGCACCUCCUGUGCUGACCUAUGUACCUUUCUUGUUGUUGUUAGGUUGUUUGUUUUUGUUUGUUUUGUGAAGGAAAUUAUGCCUGUGCCCAUUUGAUGGACAUACCUAUUAGAGGAUUGCACCUUUUCUGGAUAUGCUGGCUCUGUUUUUACAAUGUGUUGAUCACUGUGGUAUCUGAGCACUUUUUUGUGUUGAUAACUUCAGAGCUUCUGCUAAUGCCUGGAAUCGAUCUAACAUACAUCUAUUUCCAUUACUUUUCCCAUACCUGUUUUUCUACACCAGUUGGGUUUUUUUUUUUUUUAGAAGCUGAAUAAAAUGGUUUGUUGGGAUUCUCGUCCUCCAGAGCUGUGGAAGUUCUGCAGUAAAUGGGCUGGUGUAUGCAUCAUGCAACUAAGUAUUUGUGUAGGGUGGAGUUCUGUGCUUAUUUCUUAUCUAUGCAGACUACAAACGUGUUGCUACCUUGAGAUCAUUUAAAUAUUUCAUUUUGGUGCAGCAGUAGGGCCCCUGUCUUGGAGUCAGUUUCACAACCAUUUUAUAUGAACUGUCUGCUAUGGUUCUCAAUUCUUCUCCACCCUCUCUGCAUUACAGCUUUGCAUGCAAUCCAGAUGCUGAACUAUUAUGGGUGUUUAUUCACAUAUCAGUAGAAGAGAAAUUGAAUGUGGUAUGCUGAGGGUUUCAUAUGCGAUGCAUUUGAUUCCCGAUCAAAUUUCCUGAGUCUGAGAAAUAAAAGCUUUUCCUGCUGUAUGGAAAGGCUGCAAAUUCUCCUGUAUCUGGAACACAGUAAAUUUCAUUUCUUAUGCAUGUUGCUAAUAGUAAUUGUGCCAAUUCCAUUCUGCUCUUAAUCUCAUUCUUACUUCUGUGUCUGUGUCUGUAAUCCUUACUUGGAUCAUCCUCAGUGUUGAUACAAAUAAUAAUGAGGGCAUCCAUCCCUUUGGGCAUGCCUGUAGGUUUCAGUGGAUCAUUGUAGGUGUGCUGUCAGUGAAAUAGCGUAUGUAUAAAAGAUGAAAGUUUCUCAAGGAAAGAAGUUUUUUGUAUCCAUGGAAUGGUGCUAUGGAAAUAGUUCAGUUUUAAUUGCUCAAGCUGUAUGAAAUGGACUCACUGACAACUCAUUUGGCUGGUGCCUCCAGUUCUCAUUCCUCACCUUGUCUUUUAGCAUGGUCUGUGAACAGAGCUUUGAGUUCUUCUGCAGACUUCCUUACACUUGAUUAAGGCUUUUCCCUUGAGAAAGGUAAGGUUACAAAGCUGAUGGUUAAGCAAGAGUUUCCCAGACUAAGAAUGAAGAAAAGUGAGUAAUAGGAGUGAUACUAAAUUACCAUGGAACUUCAGGGAACUUCUGAGUGAAAAAAUUCCAAGAGCGGGGGGUAUCUGGUUUGUGCUAUUUAUAGGGGAAAUGGAAAGUUGCACUUCGGAAAUUGAAGAUUCAGAGUACAGUAAUGCAGACUUUGGGAAAUGUUCAAAUGGAAACUUGUCUGCAACAAAUUGCUGUAAUGAUCAGCAUAAAUGUGUUUUAAUUUGGAUUAAUUACAGCCUGGAAAGACUUUACUUCUAAAUAAACUUCAGGAAAAUGUCAUUCAUAAUGAAUAUACUAAAUAAACUUCAGUAUAAAUAAAUGGGUCGUAGCUCUCCUUCCCACUGAAGGCUUGCUGUGUUUAGAAAAUGUAAACAAAGCCCUGCAUAUAUUCUAUACCUUAAGGUAUUUACGUAAUGACAAAAGAUCACUUUUUCAUUUUCCAACCAUGACCAAGGGAUUGCAAAGCAAUCAAACUUUAACAGCCAAUUAAUCUCUCUAGAUGAUGUUUGUGUAGCACUUAACCAGUUUCAGUAAAUUAGUUCCCUGUAGGCUGGGCUGUUACAUUGAUAGAAAUGUUAGUGCUAGCUGGAGGCAUUCAUUUACUAGUUUGUAAGAACAGCAGUAUUGAGAAAUCAUGAGCAUAUGGAAACAAACUCUGUACCUUUUUAAAAGAAAUGCUGUUUGUAAAGAAAAGGAGAUCAUGGGAGUCACCCAGCGUGGAGCCUCUCUAAAUGAGUAGUUUGUCAGUUCUGUAGGACUUCAGAGACUGCUCUUAAAUUCCCUGUAAGAAACAUAAGAAAUCCAUUGGGAGGCAGCUGUGGCUAAAGAAAGAUAAUUCACUGCAAUAGCAUCCUCUUAAGCAAACUAUUAAAGGAGUAGAUUUUCCUGAAGUACUUCUCUUCACCUAAGCACAAUAUGCUAAAAAUCAUUAAAAAGAAACUGUAUCCAGGAGAGUAAAAGCUUUCAGCAUAAGUGAGAUUUAAAAUCAGGAAAUUAUCUUAGAAGAAAGCUGGAAACUUUCCCUUUUUCAAGGGUGUUCAAGGCAUCUACGUUAAGUCUGCAGACUCUGAGUUAAGCCCACAAAGCACAUCUGCAGAUAUCGAAGUGGAGGCCUGCAUGACCCAUGUCUCUGAACCCAGGACAAAAUAGCUGCAAUUACCAAGCACUGAGUUCUGCAUAGGUCUUCUGCAAGGAUAUUAAUGGUUUCCAUACCAAGCUGGUGUAAAGAUUUCCUUGUCUGUGAUGAGGCUUGGAGAGAAAGGUACUGAGGCUCAUCAGUGAGUUCAGUUCUGUCUGCUCCUUACGGUGCAAUUCUAGCUGGGAGCAGGGCAGGGAUGGUGCAUCCAAGUGUUCCUGUUCACAACUGUUUGUGUUGCAUGCACAGGGAGGAGGCAGGUGACUGAAAACAGCUCAGGAAGAUCUUCCUAUCCUAAGAAAUGGGUGCAUGUCUUGAGAAAUUAAUUCCUGCAGAAUGAAGGCACUUGGUAAAAGUCUUGUCUUAGACUGCUGCUCUGGAGGCAGGUGUGGAGACAGUGACGUGGGUUAGGAUCACACCCUGAUGUUGGCACGGUGGAUAUGGAAACUGUUUAAAAAAAAAAAAAAAAAAGAGAGAAAAAAGCUUUUCCUGGUAAGGAUAGGAGGCUGUGGAAAUGCAGAACUUGCUGCUGUCUGGGAUAUGUCAGCUCUAAGAGUGCCAUGGUCAAACUUAUAUGCGGGCCAGUUGGUUUAGAUAUCUAUAUUUAACGAACGGUGAACGUGCUCUGUGUGUCUGGAAACUUGUCUUUGAGAAAUAGGUUCCCCAAACCCUGCAGUGAGACUUCAGUUCCCAGGCUUGAUUUGCUACGAGGUGUGUGUGAGUAGCUGAAGACCAGAAAAGCCUUCUCCAUUCUGUUGGUUUUUGCCGAGGAAAGGGCAGGGCUGUGAGCACCCGCAGAGAGAGGCAGGUGGUAGCAAAUACGAGCUGACCUUUGGAUGAGACAUUCUGCUUUUUUCCUUCUGACCCUUAGAGAGUAUCACUCAGUGGCUCGUGGCCAUAUGGUGCUUAGCAGAAUAAGGUUUAAUUAUAUGGUUAGAAAGGCAGCACAUACACUUGGAAGGCUGAAGUAAAGGUGAUAGAACAAGCUGCUAGUAAAGGAAGUCUGUUUCUGUAUCACAUUCUUGUCUAGGCCAAUCAUAGCCCAGGAAUGACGUUGUUUCUUUUGACACAGUUGCUCAUGUUGGCCUGAUUGGCAGGACUGGGGACUUGCUGUGGUGCUGAGAACAAUUCAAGCUCCUUAAACUUUAGUGUAGGAGUGUUGUAUCUACAGUGGUUGUCCAGGGCUCUCCCUUGGUCAGAACUGAUCCUGACUUCUACUGAGCUUUCUGAGAUGCUUUCCUUCUAGUGUUUUUUCAAAUGCUGCUCUGGGCUUUUCUAAUGAGUACAGGAGAAUGAUAACUUAGCUGCCACUUCAGGUUGUUCUUUGGGUAACUGAAGCACAAUGGGAGAUGCCUUCAUUGCUAUUGCAAUGCAGCAGCUCUAGUAGAAGAAAGGAGGUAAAUAAUAACCAUGUAAGCAGUAAGUAGCAUAUGUGGAUACAGAAGACCAAAGGUACAGGCCCUUGUACCUGUGUCUAUGUUUUUACAGGACUUUUAAUGCAAAUGUGUACAUUUAGAAAUUCUGCCCAAAAAUAAAUAGGAACUCCACCUGAUCCUGUAGCAAUUGUAGCCUUUGCAAAAGUGGGCAGGAAGGUUGAGAGUGGAGACUGUGGGCAAAUCAUAGUUUAGAACACAGGAAGCCUGUAUUAUAAAUGUGCUAUUCAUCACAGUUUCCUAACAAAGACAUGGUCUGAAUGGUUGGUAAUGAAAUGCUUUCUCAGUGCAGUAAUUUUACUUACUGUUUAGAUAUGCUAUUGACAAGUUUAGAUAGAGGCUUUUUUUUUUUUUCCUCGAGAACAGAUGAACAGCUAAAUGUAUUGAAUAAAAUUUCAACUUCUUAAAAUGACAUGCUGGGAAAAUAGAUGCAUCUUAGUGAUACUUGGCUCUAGGGGUGAAAUGAAAGAACAGAACCGCAGGACUCUUUCCAGCUAGGGGGAGUUCUGACAAGGUCAUAUAACAAAAGCCUAAUAUCAUCACUCUGGGUUUCUAGUUAUUAUUUCAGUAUGUGCUCUGACCAGUGAAAGCAUUGCUAAUUUUGUUUUGUGCAGCUGUCCUCCAUGUCAGGAGUUCAUAUCUUUGCAUUGUUGGAUCUUGCACUCUCUGAGAUGGGCCUGCUUUUUUUCUAUCUCUUUAACAGUCUCAAAGCUGCUUAUUGCUGCUGAAAUGAUCCUCUCAUAGUUUCAGCAGAAAGUGACAACAGCAUAUUUUUCUGCAACUUAAUAGUUGGAUAAAGCUCCUUAAAGGUUAUGCCAUGUAUCUGCUAAGUAUCUUCGCUCUACAAUGCAGGCAGGCAAAUGCAUAUAACUUUUAUAUAGCAGUAUACAAUCAAAUGAUGUUAAAGCAAGAGUGAGUGAUGUACAGAUGCAAAAGGUGGUGCUUUGCCUUUGUUCAAAUGUUACACCUUUUCAGAACGUUUUAAUGAGGUGGGAAGCUGCAGAAGGAAAACCAUCUGACACUUAGGUGUCUUUUCGUGAGAUCUGCAACUUGGGAGACUGCUAGCCAGGAAGGCCCAAGUUGACACACUGCUUCCUUCACCUUCACACUUGCAAGCACCAAUGGCCACUCAAAGUUAUUGAAAUAGUUUGUGAAAACCUUAAUGACCUGUUGUUAUCCAAAGUAAGGCAGCUGCGGUUUCCCAGAGGAAGCCAAAACUGCAGAAUUUAAGUGUGUGGUGCAAGAUGCUCCAGGGAGCAACUGAAGUUGCACUGAAGUUUGGAUUACCUUCAUAGGACCAAUUUUUAGUGGUGGACUGGUGGUUUCAUGUGACUUUUAGAAUGCCCUUCCUUAGAAGCGUUGCUCACUAUCAAAAUUAUUGACUAUAUUUUAUACCAGAAUUUCUAAACAUACACAUUUGCAUUAGAAGUCCUGUAAAAACAGAGACACAGGCAUACUUAAAGCAUUUGCUUUCCAUUUUCCUCAGGCAAGUGUGUUGCAACUCUCUGAGACUUGCAGCUGAUUUCUGCGUGAACUAGAUCUGUCAGGUAAUAAUUACCAUGCUGACAUGCUCAUCUUACUCUAUAAAAGAGAGGGGUGCUCAGUUCAAUAAUCAUUUAGCUCAGAUCAUGGUGAUAUUUCCACCCCCCCCACCCCCCCUCAGUCAUCUCUGUCACCCCAGUGGUCCAAAAUUCAAACUAUAUCUUGGUUGGCGCAUGAAUUAUGCUUGGUUUCUCUAGAGGUGUUACUCAAAGCUAUGACUCUUAGCUGGUGGAAUAACAAACAUCGGUAUGCGUACAGGAUUGAUGUCUUUGAGCAUCUGCUCAGAUCACUGUUUUGAGAUUGCUAGAUACAAAGCAAAAACCUCAGUGAUUUGUUCAUUCAGUAGUGUAGGAAAUAGCUGACCUGGAUAAACAAGCUUAAUGAUCCGGAGAGGCAGGUGGCUGUAGGGUUUUUUAUGUCAGAAGUGGAACUGACCACCUAGGUACAUAUUGUGAAGUGAAAGCUUUAAGUUUAGAUUUGAUCCGAUGGAUCAGACCAGUUCAUACCAAUUUGUCUUGGGGGGGGGGGGGCUUGACAACCCCUUUUCCAGGACCUGAGAAACUGUCGGUGUUCAGAUUCAUUUAGAGAUGUUCUUAAGGUGCACUGCUCCCAGAGCUGGAAGGAAAACAGCAAGAUUUUCCUGUAACUGCUAUAGGUAGCAAGGAGAGAUGCAAACUACAACAAUGGCUGAAAAAGCUACAUGAAGCAAAUAACUUGGCUUCAGCUGCCAUGAAUUAAUUUACCUUUUGGUCCAGUAAGGUUGUGGUUAGAAUUGCAGUAUGGAUACGGAGGCGCAAACAGUUCCUUGUAUCAGAAGCUUUUGGGUUUAGGCCAAUGUGCCCAAUUUAAAGAGUUCAUGAACAGAAAUUCGUAACUUGGAAUUUCAAAGGGUGAGGGAGCUCUUAGCAUUGCAUUGCUUUGUGAAAAGCAUUGCAGAAUGGGACAGGCCUGCCGUGUAGGGGAAACAGCGAUCCUGUCCCUUCUGGAAUGUAUUUGUUAGCUUGGUCUUGAUGAGAACUCUCUGAAGGUAAAAUAGCACACAGUCAUCCUGACUUGAAUCUGGUGCUUAAGGCAGUGAAGGGAGUUAAAGUUGUUUAAAGAGAAUUCUUAAGAAGAUAUAGAUUUUCCUCAUCCUUUUUCACCUCUCCGGACUGCGUGGCACCUACCUCGGGCAAAGUGGGGGGAAAAACAUCCAAUGCCCCUGUGUGUUCUGGAAUAACAGCUCUGCACUAGGAAAAAAUACAUUCCAUCAUAUGUGCGUGUAUGUGUGAACAAGCUGCAGUAAUCUCUGCCCCUGGAAUUGGCUCCAGUCCAGAGUCUGACUUACGUUGCAGGGCAGAGCAGGUGGUGUCUUUGCUCAGUCUCCAAUUUCAGAUUGCACGUUAUCUUUAGGGCAGCUUUAGCUUCUAGCCAGCACUCUGUUGGAAGCCUCUUGAUGCACACCAUCCGGUAAAAACACCAAGUCAGCCUAGUUUGAUCCUGUCCUUUGAGGCAGUGGUGGUGAGGAAGUUACUGUACAUGUUGUUCUGCUGUGAGCUACUUCAAAUGGCCUUUUAACUGGGGACCAUGAAUGAGGAUCCCAGCAGUGGCUCAUCAGCACUAGAUCAGGUCCUUAGAGUUGUGCUUUGUGGAAAUGUUCUAGUGCCAAGGAGAGCUUUUAACUCUAGAACUAUUCUGUGAUACUAUUUCCCCAUGUUAAUCGUAUCUCUUUUAGUCAGAAAGGGUACCUUAGUUGUAGACUCUUUCAGCAUGGAUGGCACUUGAUAUCUCUAACCACACUUUUUUCUUCUAGCUUUUUACUUCCCUCAGUGCUCUUUUGGGAUUAGAAGCAGAACCGAAUGCAGUUUAGAGGGGGGGGAGAAAUAGAAAAGCUACAAAUGUGAGCAUACCAUGGAUUUGUGGUGACAGACAUGAAGGUAUUUUCUUUCCUUCUCUGCUCCUUGAAGUGUUGUUCCUCUGAUGCAUUUUUCCUUUGUUGAUGAAUGCUGAGCUAACGCUUAUACAAGACUGUCCACACAUUUCUCUUCUGAGUGGCAAUAGCUGAUCUAAUCACUGCGUAUCGUGGUUGGAUUGAUUUCCCCAUCACGCCUGCAGAGCACAACUUUGAAGUUACUGAUGCUGAAUUCCAUCAGAUAAGGGCCUCUGGUCUCUGCAAGAAACUUUGAGGACUAGCCAAGGAAAUUUAGAAGUCACCAGGCAGGGAAUAGAAUUAUUUUGUAUUUUGAGUUGUUGGCUUUGGCAGAAUCACUUUCAUCUGUUCACACCUCUGGGUUAUUAAAGCUUGCCCCCCCCCCCCCCCCAAAAAAAGGGGGGUGGGAAGAGGGACACCCUAAAGAGAGUGCUAGCUGUUUGCUCUUUUGGGCUUAUAAGUACUACUUUUAAGAAUGGUUAAGAAUGACAAACUUGGUUCCCAAGGCUGGGGAAUAUCUGAGGGUGUGCCAACUAAGGCAGUGUCGCACCCUUAGCGUGACUGUGGUGUAAGGGUUGGGGAGAGCAAGUGUCCAUCCAGCUGGAGAAGCAGACUCGCUGCAUAGUCUCUUGGCACCAACCUUCUUGGAAAUGUCUGGAAUGCUGUACACAAAAGUGAAGAAGCUUUAAAUUUUUAAAUGAUCUCAUUAGCCCUCAUCCGAAGCAUAAUAGCAAUACUUAAUUUGUUUUACAAUUAAUAUUUUUAAAACUCCUUGGUUGUGCUUUAUCAUUUUGCCAAAUACUCAGAACAUGCUGUGCCACAGGCUAAUACUUUCCUCAGUGUUCCUAUUUACCUUUGGUAAAAACGAGUCACAUCAGAAGCAGCAUGUGCACAAGAUACAGUCUCAAACACUAGGAUGUAGUUUUUGUUUUCUGUGCCUAUUGACUACUAUAGCCCUAAGGUUUUCAUACUGACUAUUAAACGUAGAAUGCUAUAACUCACCAAGCACUGUUUAUUUGUUAGGGCUUUAAGCUUAUCUUUACUAAUAUUUCUACCAGUUUUACUGUGUUCUUUGCCUUGCAGCAUUUCCAGAUGUUUGAACUGUAAAACCAACACACCUCUGUGAUUCCUCUUUUCCUGCUCUUGCCCCUUUUCUAAAAUAUUGUAAUACAGCAAUGGGGAAUGGUUCAAAAAAAAAAAGAGUUCUUGGACUCUGAUACUGAGAUUGGUAAUGCUUCUGUAAAAUGUUCCAGCAGUUCUGGCUGGGAUGGAGGGGAUAGAGGGACAAGUAAAGAGGUGUGACCAAGUAUCUUAUGAUAAAUGUGCAAAAAAUGCUCAGGAAGAGAAACUAAGAUCUGCAAGCAGAAGACUUCAGCAAAAAUUCAAGUUCAAGCUCUGUUAAAUGAAGCUAGAUAUUUUGCAUUGACUAAAAUCAAAGUGCAUCAGUAAUAGCAGUUCACCCUCUUUACCAGGACCAGCUGAUUCAAGGGAACUGCAAAUCAGGGCCAGCAGGCUGCUCAGGAGCUCAGCAGUAAAUGUGGAAACAGCUUGCUGUGGUUACGAUAGCUCAGCUGCUAUAGAUGCCUCCAACGUGUUACUACCUGAAGAUACCACCACUGUUGGCUGAGCCAUGUGCUCUGCAUCACCUCAGGCAAUGCUGGGAUCUGCAGAGUCAGGAAAGAGGGUAAGGAAGGUGCAUAGAUGAGUAUGAGGUGAAAAGCUUUGUGGUGGGCUGGGACUGUAGGGCUGGAAGAAAAGGAAAUGAUGCUGAGAUUAGGGAUGGCAAGAUGUGCCAUAAUGGAAGGGAAGAGGCAAGACCCCAAGACUUAGGGUGACCUUUGGGCAGACAGACUUGGAGUCAAGAAAUAAUAAAACAACAAAGUUUCUGAUCCUCAGAACUAUUUUAUCUUCUGUCUCAGACUGAUCCCGUUUCCUCAUCUGUCAUCCCUCCCUCUAAACAGCAAAAGCUCCAUGCAACAGGGUGUUAUCUCUUGAAUAUUACUGUGAAUUAGAAGGAAAUCUGCCUGUGUCAUAGGCUUUCUUGUGAAUGUACCAUGGUACCAUGCACGCGUGCAGUUGUGCUAGCAGUGCCCUUGCCAGGAGGUUCAGGAAUGGUUAGUGAUGUGGGCAAGUCAUAACUGAGGACUUGAGCAGGUUUUGAAUGAAGGUAGAAAAUCAGGUAGAGAUCCUUGUUCUGAAUGAAAUAGCGCAUGGUAGGCUGCUUUGGAGGGACACAUGAUGGUUGGUGCUCGUAUGUUGUCAGCUGCUUUUUCAAAGCCUCAAUUCAGAGUUUCUAAACUAACAGAAUACUGAGUAAAUGAAAUGUUUGACAAAAACAAAUCUGUCAGAGGAAUAUUACAGCUCCUCUUUAUGGGAGGAUGUUUAAAAUGUGGGAAUUAUAUGGGAGAGCUGCUUAAGAAAAGGAAAUGCUGUGAUAAUAUUUCUGUAUGUUUUGAACGUAUUUCAUCCCCUCAGUUCUUGAUAUGCUGUUGUCUGUGAGUGAGGUUCUGCACAAUCUCCCAGGAAUGAAGAUGGAAGGCUGAGAUGCAUGUCCAUUUAUAUGCAUCGAAGGAUUUAGUCACAGACAGAGUAGACAGUUAUGUAAAAUAUAUCCUGGGGAAAGGAAUUAUGGUGCAACUCUUUUCAUGAUGAGAAUUUUAAAAUAAAAAAUUAAAAUGUUUAGAUGAACCUUGCUGGUGAUAGUGAGCUCUGCACCUCUCUUCAUGAACUCCAGAAUCCUUUAAUCUUUUGCAUUUGCUGCAAUUGCACCUACUUCAAAGUGUUGCUGCAGGCAUUGGGAAGGGUUCUCGCACUCAGAGGGAAUAGGGCGGGGAUGUGAAAUUCUGUCAUCCCUUGGAAGCUGCAGCCAUUUCUGAAGUGCCAGUGUGAACUAUCUUAACAAAAGGGCAGCGACAUCACACAACUGGUUUGGGAAAGCAGAGUGACAUGACUAUACUGGCUGUAGUUACGAGUAGUUUUUUCUGUUAAAACAGGUUUGGUUUGUUGUUUAUUUAAUAAAAAAAGAAACACAAAAACCAACCACUUUAUAUUGAAGUCUACUUGGAAAAUAGUCUUCGGAGGGAGCUGAAUAUCGCACGGUAAUGAUAGCUGGGCAUGUAUAUGGAUAGACGCCAUUCUGCCUCAUGGUUUUGAAACCAGCCCUGGGUGCAACUCAGCCUUCUAUCAACCCAGCCAUUGCUGCGUGGGGCUCACUGUGGCAGAGGGGCCUGGGGUGAAGUGGGACAGAGGGGUGAAAAUGUUAAUUUGCGGAGUUGGGGCUGUAAGUUUUAGUCAAAAUUCAAACCAGCUUUAUUAUUAUUGCUCAUACCUCUCAACUGAUCUUUCAAGAAAUAGUCUACUUUAGUAUGUUUUAACUGUUAGGCGAGCUGAAUGAAUUCAUUCAGCAGAAGCUGAGGGUGGCGGUGCCUUACAAGGAGCAAAUCCUAUGCUGCUGGCAUCAGUAGGAGCAGUACCUCAAAUCUUUUGCUGAGUACCAUGAGAACGAUCCAAGCAGUAAGGAAAACACUUGUUUUUCAAGCUCAAUUUUUUAUAUGCAUACAUGAGAAGAGAAUAUCAUUUACCAAUACCUUGGCGUCAUACUUGUUCAUGUUUUGAAGGAAAGCCUCCAUCAUUGUUGGCAUCAGCGUGCACCGCGUUGUGCUCUAGCAUAUACAAGUGAUGCUUUGACUUGCAAAAUUACAAGAUAGUGCUCUUCAUUGAAGGAGUUUAAUUGUGGAAGAAGCUGUAAGUUUUUUAUGGUACUUAGAUUGUGUUUUAUCUUAAAGGCCAUAUUAAAAGCAUUCUACAAUUAAGUCUCAAAUGAAUUAGGCAUUGUAAUGCAUUUCAAGCUGCUGUUGUUGUAAAGAAUUACAAUCCUUGAAGUAUAAAAAGUGACUAAGCUGCUUUUAAAAGUGAAAUUGAAGUGCACUACAGUUGUUUAUUGUGCAUUGCGUUUAAGUGAUGAAUUCACAUAGUGCUAGGAACAGAAGGCAGUUUUCAAGGUACUUCCAAGGUUGGAGAGAUCUAUUUUUUAAUAGUCAAUGUCUCUUCAGCUAACCUGUACCCCUAAUCUUCUCCUACUAAAAUGCAAUGAAAGCGGAAUUGGAUGGAAGGAUGUUUUAUGUGUGGAUAAAGUACACUUUAAAAUAAUGCUCAAACUUCUUAUUUUUGUUUUACUGCAACAGCUCUGUUCCUUCUCCAUAUGAGUGCUACGAGUUCAUACUCUCAAUUAACUUAUGCCCUCAUGUUGGGAAGAAAGAGCAGUUUCCAAUUCAGAAAGCAGAAGAAAUACGGAUUCUAGUGACUAGAAGUUGGGGUUUUAAAUUAGAAUAGUAUAUUGAAGGAGUAACAUGUAAAUUAAAAACUAAUUGUCUCUAAGAAAUCUAAGUCCAAUUUUUAACUGCUGUUGGAAAGGAAGGAACUUGACUGUGCUUUUAUCUGUAUUUAAUAAACUUGAUCUUGGUUUACAGUUCCUUCUGUUAUGAAAGAUCAAAGAGUAUUCAAAGCUGGUAUCUUCUCGGAUUUUGCAUGUUUAAUGUGAUGUUAUUCUGUUUUUGGUAUUGGAGACGGCACUGCUUGCUCAAGGCAGUAAGAUGAGAGAAGGUAGCUAUUAUUGGGUCUUUGUGUUACCCUCUGUGUUAACGUUAUAGGUGCCCUAGCAGAAUGAAAACUAGUCAUGCCGUAUGACUUCGCUAUUUCGCUUAGCAUGUUCUGAAGUUACCAUAUUGUUAGUAAGAGAGUUGUAUGUGCUUGUUUCUGGAUUUUUUUAUAAAGAAAAGCAUAUAUAUUGCCCAGUGCUUUAUACAAGUCUAUAAUCUUUCUCUACAGAGGCAGUGAAAUCCAUAGGCAAUGUACAGUAAUCUUAGUCUGAAGUUAGUCCACUUCAUACUUAAAAAAUGACACAGCAUAGCCAAUACUUACAUUAAUUCAUUUAUGUCUAUUACUGAACAUGACAGCGUUCACAAGGAACAUGUGUUCCUAAGUAAUCUUGAACAGGGCACAACCUCUUACCUGCCAAGGCAAGAACAGAUGAAGAAUUACUGCACAUCUGUACUAGAACAGUUCAUGAUGUCACACUGUAGCUUUCUACCUAGGUAGUGUUUUAUAACUGUCAUUGCAGUAUUAGUGUUGGAUUUUUAAUUGCAUGAUUGAAAUACAAAGACUUCUAUCAGUGUACUGUAUUCCACAAAUGUACUGAUGUGUAAUUGUAUGUGUUUAACUGUGUUUUUGUUGCAUAAUUGUGUGAGUUCUGGGAUUACUGAGUAGAAGAAGCUAUUAGCAACUAUAAAGUUAUAGGGUGAACAGAUUCUUUAAAAAAAAAAAUGAAUGAGUAGACCUAUAUACCAUCUUCCAUUUUUUUUUUAGCCUUGCCUGAUAUGUACAUCUACAACUAUUUGAGACUAUCCAUAAUCAGGUUUGGCCACAAAAUUUUAUUUCCCUUUUGAUGUUUGCUGAUGUUUUGCAUUGUCCAAGAUAAUAUAAGGUAAAAAGAAGUUGAGCUGAGAUGGGUGGAAUGUUAGAUAACCAGAGGAAAAAACUCGCAAAACCUUCCUACUGCCAAUUUUUUCACCUGCUUAUUUGUUUUCCUUUUCUCUUUAAAUAUAUGAUUGCUGUGCUUGAUAAGACUUGCUUACUCUCUUUCCUCGAAGCUGCAAAAUCUAAUCUUAGUGGAUUGCAUAGUGGAGUAUUUGGAGAAACUAAGAAAUGCCAGUAACAGUGCUGUAUCAACAAAAUGUGGUUUAGGGCAGUCUGAUUCUGCGAGCUCAGCAGUCCUAGACCAGGCUGAUGCUUGGCUGGAAGCCACCUGGGAACCCUGGGUACUGUAGGCACAACCCAAGAGGUCAAGAUCAAACUCCUGGCAAAUAUUAGACCACAGAUGCUGAAUGAGCAGAAAGACUUCAUUCAGCACCAUCAGUGCUGCUGGGCUGACAGAUGGGAAUAAACUCCCACUGACAUCCCUUUCCUCCUCAGCAGCGAAAGCGUUCUGUUGCUGUGAAUGGCCAAUCGUACCCAGGCAGCAGCAUUCUGCAGUUGUCUCGUUUGGGUCUAACGAUGCUAUGCAUUAUUUAUCCAUAAAUGGAAAAAAUGUUUUGAGGAAAGCUAAAGAAUUCUGUUUUGUGUUUCUCUCCUGAGACAAUGUGGGACAGAUAUUACUGGGGGAUAAUGGGAGAAGUGUGGACCUUUGGCUGAAAAACCAGGCUGCGAACUGGGUUUUGCUAAUUCCAUCCUAAUGUGUGGUUUUGAAGCAGAAUUGUCAUGAGGAAGUGCUGUUACUAUAAAAAUAUAUAUCCGCUACAUUUGUCUUUGUUAUUUCGCUGUAGUAGGAAUUAAAGGGAAAAUGAGAAAUAAGUUAACACCGUGGGACUGCUGGGAGCCAAAUUUUCAGCCUUUAUGACUGUCUGGCAUUAUGAAAGAAUAUUAUGAAUGCCUGGCAUUCCUAAAUCUGUUAUAGCUAAUUUGUCCUGCCUUUUCAUACUCUUUUUGACUUUUUAUCUGAUAAAGUGUAUUUUUGACUGUUGAAAGGUGACAUGAAACUAUUCUGCAAUUCAUUUUUUGGAAUAGCUUUGCAGAUUUACCAGAUGAAUAGUGCUGAGAAAAGACAACUAUUUUUCACCUGUUUUCUCAGAGUUGGCUGGUGACCUCUCUUGAUAAUUUAUGCCCUCAGAAGAUUUUUUUUUUCCUUUGGAAAGAAGGCUUGGAAUGCAAAGAUUAAAUUUCACUGAGGUUUAAUCAGAUUUUCACAAAAAGUUGAGCCAGAAGAAAUGAGCUCAGCCAAACUGAGUUCUGAAGAUUCUUGUACCACCCCUGAAUUAGAGCAGGACAGAUGAGCUCUCAGCUGCCGUUACUGAUUGUUUUUGGUUUUUUUUCCUGGUCUAACUGUGGUGAUGCUGUCUAAACACUUCUGGAGAAAGCCAACAUCAGCAGAAAUGGGAACUUAGUGGAAGAUCCAUGUCGUGUUCAUUGACGGACCAUAGGGGGGUUCAUUGCUGUGUGAGAGGUGUUGAGAUUAUCCUCAUGUGUGGUGCUGCUCAGCAGCUCUCAGCUCAAUACUUACGCUGUCAGAUCUGUGCUUUUGGAGGGCUCUUGAGUGGGAUCCAAGGUACAAGUCUUUUACAGCAUGAUGUAAUAUUGUUACUGCAAGUCAGAUCACCUGCAGUUCUGCUGUAGGCCAUUACCUGACUCUGUAGGUCAUUCCUUUGUUGUUCGGGCACCAGUAAUGCUUUGCAACUUUUAGUUUUCUUCAAACAUAUUUUCUUCCAAAGAUUACUCUUGUACUGCUACUUUAAAAAAAAAAAGGCAAGAUGAUGGAGUAAUCCUCUCACUAAGUCUACAAAACACACUGUUGAAGAUAUGAUCAUACAGAGGAAGAAUAAAAAGAUAGUUCUCUUAAUGCUAGAAGUCCACCUGUGUGCUGUUCACCAGUGUUCAAUGCUGAGUUAUUUGCCUCGUGAAGAUAUAGUGCCUCAACUUCAUUUAUAGGUUGCACUUAUAAAAGCCAAGAAAUACCAAUUUUCCUGGGUCAGAUCUUCACAUCAGUGUGCCGGGGGGAAAAGCAUGUCAUCCCAUCCAGAGGGCUGCUUGUGAGAACUGGCCUGCUGGGAGAGCUCAGUGCCUUGCACGUGGUAAGGCAGACAAGCCACAGUGAUAAGGUAUCCCACACGCUGUGCAUGGCUAACGCUGCUUUUUCAGCUGAGUGCACGUGUGGGAACAACUUGUGCUACUAUCUGCCCUGCAUCUUAAUGUUUGUUUCAAUCCCUAUUCUUUGAAUACUGUAGAGUUAAGAUUAUGCACGAACCAGCUUGGUAAACUUGGCCAAUUCUGGCUUUAUUCAUGAAGGCAGUUCUAAUGUUCCCUGACAAAUUGUUCCAGAGAAAGUGUUUUGUGAAAUACAAUAUCUGCCAGUUUCUUGCUACCAAACUAUAUUCCUAUUAGGACACAGCGUUAAUGAUUCAGUACAAAAUACAAUGCCUGGUGCGGAGUGAAUCUGAAAUCAUUUAGCAUACUUGACUGUUAACUGAACUAACUAUCCUGCGAGUGCAUCGGCUGCCAUCUGUCCAUUUCCUGACAGCCUUGUCAAGGGGGGAAAAAAAAAAAAUCCUGAGAGCUGGCAGAGGUCCAGUUUGCCGCAGGUCUGCUUUCUAGUGUUUUUGUAACAGAUGUUGUGCCACAUGCCCAAAGCUGCUGCCUAUAAUCUGCUGUGUGCUCAAAUUUUUAAUUUUGGGGAUGCCUGGCUGUUUCUGAUGCAAGAUUUGCAUUCAUCUUAGCCGGCCCAUUCUGGGGUGCCUUUGUUAUAAUGACAGUCUGAUGAAAUAUCCAAAACUCCCUGGAUCUGUCGUGGGUUUUCUGAUGACUUCAGUGGACCCUGAUCAGGCCUUGACUUGCAAUUGUUAAUAAGGUGCUUAUCUUUUUAUCUUUACUUUUUUUUUUUUAAAUAGCACUGAGUCUAUAAGGCACAUGACUUGAAAUUAGGAAGUCUGCACAGUGCUUUUAAGGAAGAGUGGUCAUGGUUUAUCUGGGAUGCUCUGGAGGGGUUACACACACAGCUACAAACUAGGAAUUACCCUGAAUUCUUCGCUCCUCUCUUAUCUUCCACAUACAACAUAAUUCCACAGUGAGCCAGUUUGUCCUAAAUGUAUGUAAAUCAACCAAGGUGAGAUGAAGAUUUGGGAACUGCCGUGUUUUUCAAUUCCAUGAUUAAAACGCCAUUUUCCUCCUGUGGAGUUCGAUGGCUGUCAGUAGAGCAGCAGGGGGGAAUUAUCUUCUUCCUGCAGCAACCCCUGCUGCUUCUGAUAGGAAAGAUUUCUUCUUCUCUCCUUCCUUUCUUUUCAUUAACAAAAAGGGGGGGAAAAAUAGGUCAAUUAGACAACGCAGCGUGCAGCAUCAUGCAUCUUCAGACACUUUCUGUAUGUUUUCUGUUUCAAGAGGUUUGUGACAUAAAAACUGCUAGCAGGGUUGUCUGCAGAAUGUUUCUUCCAUCCUAGUUUGUAUUUCCACUUGAUCAGCCUUUAGUGGCCUGCCUGUGUGCUUUCUUGGAGGAUGAGGAAUGGUUUGGCUUUGCGUCUGUUCAGCCGUGAAAGAAAGCACCCAUUGAUUUGCUGCUGGCUCGGUGUGUGUGCGUGUAAAUACAGUACAACAGGUGACCUAUUUUGUGUAUUGAGCAUGGGAAACUGAUCUCAGCAAUUUGCUUGUCAUCUUUCAGGACAAGCCUGUAGCUCAGUUUUGCAACAUGUGGCUCAACUCGCCUUUGUGCGCUAUCCGAGCUGCUUUGAGCCUCAAAUAUUUGGGUCGCGGUUCCUGCUUUUCAUAAUAUUAAUUGAGCGUAUAUGGAAAACAAAUAUGGUUAAAAAUCUGAAUCUUACUGGUUAGUCUUCAUCAUUUUUCAUCACAGAAUCUGCUAUUCUAUGAUUUUUGUCUGUUAAAUGCCAUUAACCUGUCAAGAAGAUUCUUCCCAUAUACAUUGCAGGGGUGAUAAGCUUGGGAUAUUUUGAAUUCUGGGGGAGGCCUUCAUAAUUUCUUUAAACUAGAACAGUGAAUGGCUAGUGAUCCUAGCAUGCAGGUCUCAGCCUGAGAAAUGCUGCUAGUUCAGGCUGUGUCUGCAGGCAUCUGUUACUCAGCAGCAAAUGUCACUCCCUCUCCAGCUCUGCUGUUAGAAAAUGCUAAAAAGGCAGGUAGGCAGUGAAAGUUUAAUGCCUCUGUAACGACCUGGAAGCUUACAAAUGCCUUAGCAUGCAGAAUACAAUUCAGCCAUAAUUGAUUGCAAAGUAUCGAUGAUGAUUUUAACCAAAUAAAAAUUAAAACAACAGAAAAGUUGCAGCAGCUGCCAGGUAAAAAGGACAACCAGAAAAAAAUCAAUUUAUGAUUCCAAGAAUGAAUGCUUUAUGAAUGUAUGCUGUAGUUUAUGGAGGUGAGUAACUGAGCAAGGUGACGCUUGUUUCUGCUGUGAAGUAGUACGAGAUGCAAACUACUUGUCUGCAGUUGGAAAAAGUAUAGUUUUCUUAAAAGAUUGGAGGUAACUGUAGUAAAAGCAGAGCAGGAAACUGCUGCAAUACCAAGCUGUCAUUAGCAAGUGGACAGGCAAACUUAGCUUAAGUCAGGUUGAAGAUCACUUAUGAUUUUUGUCCGAUAAAAUCCCACACCUCUGCAACUACAGCCUAACAGCAGAGCUGGAACAAGCAUUUGACUUUCUACACCAUGCACAGACUUACUUACAUAAAAACAUGUCUGCAAUAUUUCCCUAAAACACCAGAGAGCUAAUUCUACAGUAGCUACAUCAGGGCAGCUUUAGCGGUUCUUACCUGUUCAAAGUGGAGACAUGUUGACAGUUCUGGUGCGUAACUGCUUGUGCCAGAGCUCCAGGACGCGGCGCAACUCUGUGCUGGAUGCGUGGUGAUACUGAACCAUAUUUGACUAAUUGUGGUGCAAAUAGGUCAGAAGACAGGCAAGAAAAACAUAGGACUUGGAAGCUGACUUUAAAUAAGGCUACAUAGAAGCCUUAGUGGUUUUCCUUCUAUCUAUCCUUCUAAUCCUGAAGUUAGGCGCUCUCCCUCUCUCGCCUUCUCUCCAUUGCUUAGCAACACUCAUGGGUGAGCCUACUUAAAGCGGAGCUUUGUUCCCAAAUGUGAUUUCAGCAAUAUUUCCAGGCUCAAUGUUUCUGAGAUGGGAGAACUGAGACUUUCUCUCCCCACCACCGUUAGCCUGCUUCAUUAAAUAGUAUCUCUUCCUCUCUGCUUCUGCACCCCAGACAAGUUUCUUUUUUUUUUUUGCCUCUCCUGUUUUGAUCUAACCAAGGGUGAUGAAGAAGGCAGGAGGAGAUUUGAAUAAAGGUUUAAUUAUAGAGGGCACUCAUACAGAGUGUACAACAAAGCCAUGCGUUGGGCGUAGAUUGGAGUAUAAACGCAGAGAGGGUCAAGAGGAGAACUAUUUUUCCACUCAGUUUCCAAUUUGAUUUCAAGGUAGAGAUUCAAUAAAUGAUAUUCUUUGUGCCAACAGUUGCGUUCUGAAUUUAAUAUGACCAAUUGUUUCUUGCUACGUAACUUUGAACAGUAAUUUUACAUAGAAUGAAACUACAGUGGCUAAUUGCUUUCUUUGCAGUUCUUCUAAUUUCAGCAGCGAGUGAAGUAUCAGUAUUUCUUAGAAACUUUCUAUUUUGCAGACUAACCUGUGUUCAGUCCUAUUUCUAGAGGAAGAUCUGGUUUAUCCAUUCUUAUGCAGUUCACUGAACUUUGAGCUGUGUGUGUCUGUGUUUUCUGCAAGGCAGAAGAUGCUGAUACAAGUCUAUCUGAUCUUGAAGGCAAGCUAGUCCACUUACAAAGAUGAUUUCUGUUGAAAUGCAAGUGUUUUCUGUUGAAGUUUCUCAGUGUAUGGGUAGAACACUAAGGUUAUAUGAAACAUGUAGAAGCUGCUGGUAGGUCUACAAGAGUUGUAUUACUCUACUAGAGCCAUGACCGUGUCACUGAUGGCCCACUGAAAGCGCUCUGCUUUUUCAAAUGGAAUUCAAACGGAACCUCGGAGCUUUUCUUGGCAGUAUUGUGCAAUGUAAAUGCUUUCUUAUAUUUAGGCAUCUAUUUUGAGGUUGGUACCGAGACGGAUUUCCUAUGAAAACCUCAUGGUUUUGGGUGGCUUGUUGUUAAGAAGAGAUGAGGUAUGCAGUCUUGUGCUCUCUCAACCCUAAGACAAGGAAUAAGGUGAGGUUCCUCAGGAAAAAGUCAGAGCACAGAAGUUGUGGUAAAUCUCUACUAUGGUUUGUAGGGUCAUCAUAAAAUGGAUUUUGGGAUAAGGCUGUAGAGUUUUCCUGUGAUAACUCAGGGAAUUGUGAGGUACCCAAAUCUAAAAUAUACGUGCCUCGGAGUUUGUCCAGAUAGAAACCAAAUGAAAUUGAGUUACUGUGUAGUCUUAUGAGUUUUGUCAUGAUGCUUUGCUGUGGGAUUCCAUCCUUUUAACAUGAAAUUGUAUCAGCUGAGGCCUGAGUUAUCCCCAUGUGAGGUUAUUUACAAAAUAGGAGCAUGCUUUAAAGCUUUUAUGGCAGGAGUACUGAAGAACUUGGUGGUCCCUUGUUCUCUCCUGCUUGUUAGCUAGUGUUCCUGCUUCUGCACCUGCUUCUGUUGAACAAGUGCCGUUACCUUCAUAGUCUCAAUGUUGCUGUAUAAUUUCAAAAAUUAGUGCUAUUUUGAGGAAAUAAAUCAAACAUAGAACAGAAAAAAAAAAAGAUGGAAAGGUAAGUUCAGUCUUCUGGGUGAGGGAAGUGAGUUACUUCUGUAUCAUUGAUCUUAAGAUGUCAAAUUAAGUAUGCUUCCUGAUUCACGUGCUAACUGUUCUGUUUUAGUGUAGGAGCUGUUUCAAGUAUGAGGUCACUCAGGAGUGCUGUCUACAUAGCAGGUGGUAGAUCAAAUGCUUGUUAGGUGUGCAGUAUGUGCUUGGGAAUACUCUACCGCUUGCAGCCUCCUUCCCUGUGACUGCAGCUAUCCCCAAACCUUUGUUGCUGACAGAAAAGCUGACUUCUAGUGCAACUCUGUAUUGCUUUCAUUGUACGGUAAGCUAACUUCCCUUGCCCCCCCAGCUUUACCUUGAAAGGCCAAUUUCUUGGUGGGAUGUUUGAUGAAAGCAAGUACUACUAUGAGAUGUUGGUUGGUUAGAGUGCUGCAGAAAAGCACAGUCCUUGACUGUCUGUGUCCUGUACUUGUAAACUGAUACCUCUUUGCACUCACUGAGGCAUGUUUACUUAACUUUGCUUUGGACUUCUUGGAAUAAGUCCUACAGAAGUUAAAGAUAAUAUUCUGAAGAUGAAAGAAAAAAAAAACGAAAUGCACAAAUCAAACACGCUUAUUUUCUGUAUCAUUUAAUUCUACAUUUUUCACUGUCAGUGAAUCUGCAAUUCAACAGCAGAAUGUCUGUCUCUUUUUUUUCUCCUCUCAUUCAUUUAAGUGAACACUGCUUUUCAAGAGUUAAUUGAAGUCUGAGGAUACCACUUGCAGCACUCUCAUUGUCUGGAUGCAGUCCAUAUAACAAUGGUUAAGUGAAAGGGUUGCUCUGCUUUGCUCUCCAGCUCUUAUGGUAGAGGUGGUUUUCAAAGGAAGGUGUUAAAUGGUCUUGGGACCACAGCAUCCUCUAAUCUACCUCAAAGGUUUCAGGAGUUAUGCAGUUUGUAAAUGAAAUGCCAGGGAAAGCUGAUAAUUGCUUUGUUACUGUCACUGCUGCUUAUGCUUUAAAAAAGAAAGUCGCUAUCAUGGUAGGGUACUAUUGUAUCCUUUUUUAGGCAGAAUACAUUAGGAAUACAUUACGGUUGAUCUGGUCUGAGUGAACAAUAGAUGAUCAUUGGCAAGAUCUUUUGAAAAAUCAAUUGUCAUUUGCUUAAAAGUGCAUAAAAUUUGUAAAAUAGCUGGAUAUUCAAUUGAGAAUGUACAGCAGCAUAAUCCUCCUAUCUUCCUGACAUCUUCAAACCACUUGAACUUUCGAUCAGCAUGAAACAUGGCUAUGGCUCUGUCUGAGGCUGUGCAAGGCUGAGGCUGCUCCUGCAGUACUGUCCUACAGCCCCAUGUAACACCAAACAUUCAUGUGAUUCCUCAUACUGUUAGCUGGGAUUAGGCGUAGUGGUGGUGAUGAGGCUGAAGAUGAGCAUAUUUUUCUUGCUCUUUUCAUGUUCAAAGCACAUUACAGACAGUAUCUAAUGAAUCCCUACCACAGCUGGGUUAAAUACCACAAGUGGCUUUCCAGCUCAGCUGCUAUCAUUAUCAGCAUUUUGCAGGUGAUGGGAUAUUCUGCAUUUCCUCCUGUGUUGUUUCCUGUUGCACUUAGCUGGAAUCCUGCUGACCUUGUCAUGGAAGAAACCCUGAAAAACACUUUCAGUUGGAAGAAAAUUAAGUGCUCAACUUGAAGCUGUGGAAAACCGGAGCUGGAAAAGUAGAGAAACAUAAGUCUUGUUGUCUGACUGUCCUCAAAGACUGUGUUAGAGAAUCACUCUUGGAUUUUAAGAUGAUAGUUGUGAAUCCUAAACACUCAGAUUUUGGAAACUGCAGGUGUAACGAGCUUACCUUAUCACCUAUUUUCUUUCAACCUCAGAAUGCUACUAGCACUGUUAGCAGUUGAGACUGGAAACUUUCUCUGCCUCUUCUCCCAUUAGAGCCUGGCUUCUCUUCCUGGAGUUCUAGAUGAAAUUAAAUAACCAAGGAACAUGAUAUGUAAAAUCCUUCAGUAAGUUGCUUUGACUAUGAACUACAGCAUCUUUCAAAACUUUGCAGUCCUUUUACAACAGAGCCUGCCUGAUGUUAUACUACUCAGCUGGACAGCGUGUUGCUUCCUGUCCCACUUGGCCCAAAGUGUGUGCAGCAGUGGAGGAGCCUUUCUAGGACUCCUUAAAUCCAUGUGCCAACAAAGAUGCUGGGAAAUCCUUGUUUUUUUCCCAGAAGUUGGUACUUCUGAUGCAUAUAUAUUUUACUUCUGUACCAGUUCUGCUUAUGUUUUCUCCCUGUAGCCUUAGGGGAGGUGAGGUGGAGGCAAGUGACUCUAAGACCCCAUGCAGUGGUUUGGGCCCCAGUCCUGCACUUGCCUCAUUUUACUUGCAAGCACUUGUACUAAUUUUUUUUUUCUGCAAGGUAGCCUUUUGGGUCUAAAGGGCUUUUAAAAACUGGGGCUUGAAGGGCUGUACUUGUUCUACUGCAAUAGGUGGUUUUGUCCCAGACUUCAGUGGGAGCAGCAGUCAGCCUUAGCCAGGUAAGAAUUUUUUCCUAAUGUGGCUGCUUUAAUAAGGGCAUAUUGUCUCAUCAAUUUUUAAGCUAAACUCCCUGUAGAAAUCAAAGAAGAGUUCUGCAGAGCAAUCGAUAGUACAGUAUGACCCAUAGGUACUGCGUGUCUUACAAGAUUGAGCUGCUCUUUUUGCAACUUGGCCUUUUCCCCACCUCCUCCCCCUUUUUUUUUUUUGUUAAAACAUAGCAAAGCAUGUGCAAUAUCUUUGGAGCACGUAUUUAAGCAUGCCAUCUGAUGGCUGAAACUGCUUCAUUUCCUUUGGCUGUGGUGGAUAAGUUAGCUCCACAUGAAGCUUCGCCUCCUGCAGGCACCCGAAUAGCAUGUGAAAUAUUUACCACUUUAAUUGUGUGAGGCUUCAUUGAAAAUCUUAUUUUCCUGGCUAUGUGUCACUUAGAGAGGCAGCACUGAGCUAUUGCUGCAAAUGGGAGCCCUGACAGACAGGGAGCAUGGCACUUGUUUAACUAAGAACAGCAUGCAGGCUCACAUACCAUCAUGCUUAAGGCUAUAAUUCCAUUUUCUUCUGUAGGUAUUGUUUCACUGCCUUACUGUCUGCAAUGCAAGCUUUUAGUAUUCAAGAGGAAAAAAAACUCAAAGCCUGCCAAAUGCAAUGUCAUGUGCAAAAUAAUUUAAGUUUUGCAUAAUAGGCAUUUACUUAUUUUUUUCAAUUUGAAUGUGAUAUUCAGUGAAUGUAGAACAUUUCCUUUAAAGCAAAAAAAAAAGUCACAAAAACUCACUCUU
Molecule: long non-coding RNA, 24537 nt
Filed under: Gallus gallus (chicken)
Lineage: Eukaryota; Metazoa; Chordata; Aves; Galliformes; Phasianidae
Source: RNAcentral